GAACUAAAGAAUUCAAUUUUAGUCAAGAAGUUUCUAUCAAAAACGAGGGGGAUUUUACAUCUGACCCAUAAACAUACCUCGAGAGAGAGACUUUCUUCUUUGUCUUCUUUUUUUUUUCUUAUGGAAGUGUUGAAGAAGUGAUGCAAAAAAAUUGCAAAAGAAACGAGAGAGAGGGAGAAGCUGUAGCUGAGUGUGUCUGCAUGAGUGUCUGCUUUUUUGUUCCUCUCUCUAUUUUAUCUUUCUAUUCACCCAAUCGUAUCAGUGGAGAGGGAGAUUUGGACUCAUUUCUAACCUUAUUUGGUCAACUUGUUCCUCCCGUCUUCCACUGGGAUUGGCAGGUGGGUCUUAUUGACAGGAUAGUUUACAGUAUGG
This 372-nucleotide long non-coding RNA is filed under the name Androctonus crassicauda. The record is from RNAcentral. Lineage: Eukaryota; Metazoa; Arthropoda; Arachnida; Scorpiones; Buthidae.